AGUGAACGCUGGCGAUAGGCCUAACACAUGCAAGUCGAACGGCAGCACAGUAAGAGCUUGCUCUUACGGGUGGCGAGUGGCGGACGGGUGAGGAAUACAUCGGAAUCUACUUUUUCGUGGGGGAUAACGUAGGGAAACUUACGCUAAUACCGCAUACGACCUACGGGCGAAAGCAGGGGAUCUUCGGACCUUGCGCGAUUGAAUGAGCCGAUGUCGGAUUAGCUAGUUGGCGGGGUAAGGGCCCACCAAGGCGACGAUCCGUAGCUGGUCUGAGAGGAUGAUCAGCCACACUGGAACUGAGACACGGUCCAGACUCCUACGGGAGGCAGCAGUGGGGAAUAUUGGACAAUGGGCGCAAGCCUGAUCCAGCCAUACCGCGUGGGUGAAGAAGGCCUUCGGGUUGUAAAGCCCUUUUGUUGGGAAAGAAAAGCAGCAGGUUAAUACCCCGCUGUUCUGACGGUACCCAAAGAAUAAGCACCGGCUAACUUCGUG
This 492-nucleotide ribosomal RNA is filed under the name uncultured bacterium. RNAcentral's name for it is "partial 16S ribosomal RNA". It matches the Rfam family "Bacterial small subunit ribosomal RNA", at positions 29 to 507 of the family's 1533-position model. The record is from RNAcentral.